RNAcentral lists this unclassified non-coding RNA (328 nucleotides) under soil metagenome. Its description in RNAcentral is "partial contains 5.8S ribosomal RNA, internal transcribed spacer 2, and large subunit ribosomal RNA". The stretch from base 1 to 120 matches the Rfam family "5.8S ribosomal RNA", at positions 35 to 154 of the family's 154-position model. The record is from RNAcentral.
GAUGAAGAACGUAGCGAAAUGCGAUAAGUAAUGUGAAUUGCAGAAUUCAGUGAAUCAUCGAAUCUUUGAACGCACAUUGCGCCCCUUGGUAUUCCGAGGGGCAUGCCUGUUCGAGCGUCAUUACAACCCCUCAAGCUCUGCUUGGUGUUGGGGCCUGCCGCACCGGCAGCCCUUAAAAUCAGUGGCGGUGCCAUCUGGCUCUAAGCGUAGUAAUUCUUCUCGCUAUAGAGUCCCGGUGGAUGCUUGCCAUUAACCCCCAAUUUUCUAUGGUUGACCUCGGAUCAGGUAGGGAUACCCGCUGAACUUAAGCAUAUCAAUAAGCGGAGGA